GUAGGUGGCGAGCGUUGUCCGGGAAUUAUUGGGGCGUAAAGCGCGCGCAGGCGGUUCUUUAAGUCUGAUGUGAAAGCCCACUGCUCAACCGUGGAGGGUCAUUGGAAACUGGAGAACUUGAGUACAGAAGAGGAAAGCGGAAUUCCACGUGUAGCGGUGAAAUGCGUAGAGAUGUGGAGGAACACCAGUGGCGAAGGCGGCUUUCUGGUCUGUAACUGACGCUGAGGCGCGAAAGCGUGGGGAGCAAACAGGAUUAGAUACCCUGGUAGUCCACGCCGUAAACGAUGAGUGCUAAGUGUUAGGGGGUUUCCGCCCCUUAGUGCUGCAGCUAACGCAUUAAGCACUCCGCCUGGGGAGUACGGCCGCAAAGGCUGA
This 375-nucleotide ribosomal RNA is filed under the name uncultured organism. RNAcentral's name for it is "partial 16S ribosomal RNA". It matches the Rfam family "Bacterial small subunit ribosomal RNA", at positions 527 to 897 of the family's 1533-position model. The record is from RNAcentral.